This 480-nucleotide ribosomal RNA is filed under the name uncultured bacterium. RNAcentral's name for it is "bacterial SSU rRNA". It matches the Rfam family "Bacterial small subunit ribosomal RNA", at positions 9 to 485 of the family's 1533-position model. The record is from RNAcentral.
GAGUUUGAUCCUGGCUCAGAUUGAACGCUGGCGGCAGGCCUAACACAUGCAAGUCGAGCGGUAGAGAGAAGCUUGCUUCUCUUGAGAGCGGCGGACGGGUGAGUAAUGCCUAGGAAUCUGCCUGGUAGUGGGGGAUAACGUUCGGAAACGGACGCUAAUACCGCAUACGCCCUACGAGAGAAAGCAGGGGACCUUCGGGCCUUGCGCUAUCAGAUGAGCCUAGGUCGGAUUAGCUAGUUGGUGAGGUAAUGGCUCACCAAGGCGACGAUCCGUAACUGGUCUGAGAGGAUGAUCAGUCACACUGGAACUGAGACACGGUCCAGACUCCUACGGGAGGCAGCAGUGGGGAAUAUUGGACAAUGGGCGAAAGCCUGAUCCAGCCAUGCCGCGUGUGUGAAGAAGGUCUUCGGAUUGUAAAGCACUUUAAGUUGGGAGGAAGGGCAGUUACCUAAUACGUAAUUGUUUUGACGUACCGACAGA